RNAcentral lists this ribosomal RNA (253 nucleotides) under uncultured bacterium. RNAcentral's name for it is "partial 16S ribosomal RNA". It matches the Rfam family "Bacterial small subunit ribosomal RNA", at positions 524 to 776 of the family's 1533-position model. The record is from RNAcentral.
UACGUAGGUGGCAAGCGUUGUCCGGAAUUAUUGGGCGUAAAGCGCGCGCAGGCGGCCUUUUAAGUCUGAUGUGAAAGCCCACGGCUCAACCGUGGAAGGUCAUUGGAAACUGAAAGGCUUGAGUACAGAAGAGGAAAGCGGAAUUCCACGUGUAGCGGUGAAAUGCGUAGAGAUGUGGAGGAACACCAGUGGCGAAGGCGGCUCACUGGCCCGUUACCGACGCUCAGGCGCGACAGCGUGGGGAGCAAACAGG